CCUACGGGAGGCUGCAGUGAGGAAUAUUGGUCAAUGGGCGCAAGCCUGAACCAGCCAAGUCGCGUGAGGGAUGACGGUCCUAUGGAUUGUAAACCUCUUUUGUCGGGGAGCAAGGCCCGCCACGUGUGGCGGGAAGGAGAGUACCCGAAGAAAAAGCAUCGGCUAACUCCGUGCCAGCAGCCGCGGUCAUACGGAGGAUGCGAGCGUUAUACGGAUUUAUUGGGUUUAAAGGGUGCGUAGGCGGAAGGUUAAUCCAGCGGUAAAAUGUCGGUGCUCAACACCGGCCUGCCGUUGAAACUGGUCUUCUUGAGUGAGCGAGAAGUAGGCGGAAUGCGUGGUGUAGCGGUGAAAUGCAUAGAUAUCACGCAGAACUCCGAUUGCGAAGGCAGCAUACCGGCGCUCAACUGACGCUGAGGCACGAAAGCGUGGGGAUCGAACAGGAUUAGAUACCCCAGUAGUC
This 460-nucleotide ribosomal RNA is filed under the name uncultured bacterium. Its description in RNAcentral is "partial 16S ribosomal RNA". It matches the Rfam family "Bacterial small subunit ribosomal RNA", at positions 338 to 795 of the family's 1533-position model. The record is from RNAcentral.